GAGGAUACUGGCUUCAAGCUGUGGUACACAGGGACGACUGCAAACAGAAAUGGCGUAGGCAUCUUGAUCAACAAGAGCCUCAAGUAUGGAGUGGUAGAUGUCAAGAGACGUGAGGACCGGAUUAUCCUGGUCAAGCUGGUAGUUGAGGACUUGGUUCUCAAUGUUAUCAGCGCGUAUGCCCCGCAAGUAGGCCACAAUGAGAACACCAAGAGGGAGUUCUGGGAAGGCCUGGAAGACAUGGUUAGGAGUGUACCGAUUGGUGAGAAGCUCUUCAUAGGAGGAGACCUCAAUGGCCAUGUGGGUACAUCUAACACAGGUUUUGAAGGGGCGCACGGGAGCUUUGGCUAUGGCAUCAGGAAUCAAGAAGGAGAAGAUGUCUUAAGCUUUGCUCUAGCCUACAACAUGAUUGUAGCUAACACCCUCUUUAGAAAGAGAGAAUCACAUCUGGUGACUUUUAGUAGUGGCCAACACUCUAGCCAGAUUGAUUUCAUCCUCUCGAGAAGAGAAGAUAGGCGUGCGUGCCUAGACUGUAAGGUGAUACCUGGAGAGAGUGUUGUACCCCAGCAUAAGCUGGUGGUUGCUGACUUCCGCUUUCGGAUUCGUGUCCAGCGGGAUAAGCGUGCCAAAGUCGCUAGAACGAAGUGGUGGAAGCUCAAGGGGGAGGUAGCUCUAGCGUUCAAGGAGAGGGUCAUUAAGGAGGGCCCUUGGGAGGAAGGAGGAGAUGCGAACAAUGUGUGGAUGAAGAUGGCGACUUGCAUUUGUAAGGUGGCCUCGGAGGAGCUUGGAGUGUCCAGGGGAAGG
Molecule: ribosomal RNA, 801 nt
Filed under: Triticum aestivum (bread wheat)
Lineage: Eukaryota; Viridiplantae; Streptophyta; Magnoliopsida; Poales; Poaceae
Description: partial small subunit ribosomal RNA
Source: RNAcentral